Molecule: ribosomal RNA, 501 nt
Filed under: uncultured bacterium
Lineage: Bacteria
Description: partial 16S ribosomal RNA
Rfam family: Bacterial small subunit ribosomal RNA
Source: RNAcentral
GACGAACGCUGGCGGCGUGCCUCAAACAUGCAAGUCGAGCGAGGGUUGGCCGGUCCGCAAGGAUCGGUUCAACUCUAGCGGCGAACGGGUGAGUAACACGUGGGCAAUCUGCCCCGCAGACGGGGAUAACCUCGGGAAACCGGGGCUAAUACCCGGUACCCUCGCCGGGCGGCAUCGCCUGGUGAGGAAAGGUCGCAAGACGCUGUGGGAUGAGCCCGUGGCCUAUCAGCUAGUUGGUGGGGUAACGGCCUACCAAGGCGACGACGGGUAGCUGGCCUGAGAGAGUGGUCAGCCACACUGGGACUGAGACACGGCCCAGACUCCUACGGGAGGCAGCAGUUGGGAAUUUUGGGCAAUGGGCGCAAGCCUGACCCAGCGACGCCGCGUGGGGGAUGAAGGCCUUCGGGUUGUAAACCCCUGUCAGGAGGGAAGAAGCCCCGCAAGGGGUGACGGUACCUCCAGAGGAAGCCCCGGCUAACUACGUGCCAGCAGCCGCGGUAA